ACACGACUACAUUAGAUACCCGCGUAGUCCCAGCCCUAAACGAUGCGCGUUAGGUGUAUCGGUGACCACGAGUCACCGAGGUGCCGAAGGGAAACCGUGAAACGUGCCGCCUGGGAAGUACGGUCGCAAGGCUGAAACUUAAAGGAAUUGGCGGGGGAGCACCGCAACGGGUGGAGCCUGCGGUUUAAUUGGACUCAACGCCGGGAAGCUCACCGGAUAAGACAGCGGAAUGAUUGCCGGGCUGAAGACCCUGCAUGACCAGCUG
This 265-nucleotide ribosomal RNA is filed under the name uncultured archaeon. RNAcentral's name for it is "partial 16S ribosomal RNA". It matches the Rfam family "Archaeal small subunit ribosomal RNA", at positions 717 to 982 of the family's 1478-position model. The record is from RNAcentral.